GCAGCGACGCMGCGUGCGGGAUGACGGCCUUCGGGUUGUAAACCGCUUUCAGCAGGGAAGAAGCSCAAGUGACGGUACCUGCAGAAGAAGUACCGGCUAACUACGUGCCAGCAGCCGCGGUAAUACGUAGGGUACGAGCGUUGUCCGGAAUUAUUGGGCGUAAAGAGCUCGUAGGUGGUUGGUCACGUCUGCUGUGGAAACGCAACGCUUAACGUUGCGCGUGCAGUGGGUACGGGCUGACUAGAGUGCAGUAGGGGAGUCUGGAAUUCCUGGUGUAGCGGUGAAAUGCGCAGAUAUCAGGAGGAACACCGGUGGCGAAGGCGGGACUCUGGGCUGUAACUGACACUGAGGAGCGAAAGCAUGGGGAGCGAACAGGAUUAGAUACCCUGGUAGUCCAUGCCGUAAACGUUGGGCACUAGGUGUGGGGGGCAUUCCACGUUCUCCGCGCCGUAGCUAACGCAUUAAGUGCCCCGCCUGGGGGAGUACGG
This 488-nucleotide ribosomal RNA is filed under the name Brevibacterium sp. CMT185. RNAcentral describes it as "bacterial SSU rRNA". It matches the Rfam family "Bacterial small subunit ribosomal RNA", at positions 388 to 885 of the family's 1533-position model. The record is from RNAcentral. Lineage: Bacteria; Bacillati; Actinomycetota; Actinomycetes; Micrococcales; Brevibacteriaceae.